Protopterus annectens (West African lungfish) is the source of this 699-nucleotide long non-coding RNA. RefSeq lists it as uncharacterized. The record is from RefSeq and is a predicted model, not a curated record. The transcript has 3 exons. Lineage: Eukaryota; Metazoa; Chordata; Ceratodontiformes; Protopteridae.
GGUUGCUUUUCUGACUUUCUAAUCAAAUGAGGGAUAAGUUAAAACUGUAUGAUCCAUGACGCUUUCAACUUCAAAAAUGGACAAGGAAAAGACAAUCCUCCCUGCAUUAUAAAGAAUUGUGAUCUGGUCUCCGAUAAUAGCCCAUUACAUGUUCUCGAUAUGGAUGCCAAGAUAUACCUCUCAGGGUUUACUCUCAAGGAAAAAUAUUCAAUCCUACAAAUUUAAAACACACUCUACCAAGUGGUGCUUGCUGUAUUAUUCAAGGAAUAUAAGUUACUAGAUGUGAGUUCCAAUCGUCCCAGGUGCAGCUCACAGCCCGAUCAUACCAAAGACAAUAUCCAAAAAAGCAAAUGGUUCACAAAUGGUUCGCAAGAAACAACCAAAUUGCAGUUUUGAAAUUUAUUGAACACAGUCACAAAAAUAAUGAAUCGCCGUGGGCAGCUCCACAAUUGCUAAACACGAUCUACCUAGGUUUCGUCCGUAUAACACAGACUUCUUCAGAAUAAUGUGUUACUCAGCUUAGCCACUUUUAUACAUGUUAAAAACAAUUAAUGUACGUCAAUAAAACAAUAAAACGAAACAAUUAAGCAAUUGAACAGCUGAACAAAACUCAAUCAUUUCCUUUUCUUUGUCUUGUAAUUACACGUAGAACUGUAUUUGAAAACCUACAUAAUGAUAUAUUUGAUGAUUAAUGCUCUA